Molecule: ribosomal RNA, 492 nt
Filed under: uncultured bacterium
Lineage: Bacteria
Description: partial 16S ribosomal RNA
Rfam family: Bacterial small subunit ribosomal RNA
Source: RNAcentral
GAUGAACGCUAGCUACAGGCUUAACACAUGCAAGUCGAGGGGAAACGACAUCGAAAGCUUGCUUUUGAUGGGCGUCGACCGGCGCACGGGUGAGUAACGCGUAUCCAACCUGCCCAUCACUUGGGAAUAACCUUGCGAAAGUAAGACUAAUACCCAAUGAUAUCCCACGAAGGCAUCGGAAUGGGAUUAAAGAUUUAUCGGUGAUGGAUGGGGAUGCGUCUGAUUAGCUUGUUGGCGGGGUAACGGCCCACCAAGGCAACGAUCAGUAGGGGUUCUGAGAGGAAGGUCCCCCACAUUGGAACUGAGACACGGUCCAAACUCCUACGGGAGGCAGCAGUGAGGAAUAUUGGCCAAUGGGCGAGAGCCUGAACCAGCCAAGUAGCGUGCAGGAAGACGGCCCUAUGGGUUGUAAACUGCUUUUAUAAGGGAAUAAAGUGGGUCACGUGUGACUUUUUGCAUGUACCUUAUGAAUAAGGACCGGCUAAUUCCGUG